GACCAUUGUCGCAACUUCAACUUAAAUAAGACGGCGGCGACGAUGCCUAAUUAGGGUCACAGAGGAUGUCGGAAAAGGAGCAAUAGCUGGAGUCAGCAACGACGCCGGCGGAGGUCUGCGUGGAGAAUAUGUCGGUGGGAUCUGAGAAAGAGGCCUUCAGACAGAGGAGCGCCGAUUUAUCCGAAUCGGGUGAAACGGAAUCGUUCCGCAACGUGAAGAGGAAGAACACGAGGAAGAGAAAGGUUUAAUCUCAGUUAAAUGCGCAGACACAAACACACUCCACCCCGUCGACGUGGUUACCAUGUUCUCCUGUAGCUGAGGGUUUGGUGAAGUUAAAGGUUUAAUCACAGUACAUCUUUUUUAAUUUUAAUUUUUAAUAGUCAACGAGUUAACUUUGAACAUCAGUUGAUUGAUUUGGUUAGAGGGACAAAAACCAAC
Molecule: long non-coding RNA, 438 nt
Filed under: Glycine max (soybean)
Lineage: Eukaryota; Viridiplantae; Streptophyta; Magnoliopsida; Fabales; Fabaceae
Description: long non-coding RNA (GMAX_LNC003986)
Source: RNAcentral